GAGUAAUGUCUGGGAAACUGCCUGAUGGAGGGGGAUAACUACUGGAAACGGUGGCUAAUACCGCAUAACGUCGCAAGACCAAAGAGGGGGACCUUCGGGCCUCUUGCCAUCAGAUGUGCCCAGAUGGGAUUAGCUAGUUGGUGAGGUAACGGCUCACCAAGGCGACGAUCCCUAGCUGGUCUGAGAGGAUGACCAGCCACACUGGAACUGAGACACGGUCCAGACUCCUACGGGAGGCAGCAGUGGGGAAUAUUGCACAAUGGGCGCAAGCCUGAUGCAGCCAUGCCGCGUGUAUGAAGAAGGCCUUCGGGUUGUAAAGUACUUUCAGCGGGGAGGAAGGUGUUGUGGUUAAUAACCGCAGCAAUUGACGUUACCCGCAGAAGAAGCACCGGCUAACUCCGUGCCAGCAGCCGCGGUAAUACGGAGGGUGCAAGCGUUAAUCGGAAUUACUGGGCGUAAAGCGCACGCAGGCGGUCUGUCAAGUCGGAUGUGAAAUCCCCGGGCUCAACCUGGGAACUGCAUUCGAAACUGGCAGG
RNAcentral lists this ribosomal RNA (536 nucleotides) under Salmonella enterica. Its description in RNAcentral is "bacterial SSU rRNA". It matches the Rfam family "Bacterial small subunit ribosomal RNA", at positions 108 to 640 of the family's 1533-position model. The record is from RNAcentral. Lineage: Bacteria; Pseudomonadati; Pseudomonadota; Gammaproteobacteria; Enterobacterales; Enterobacteriaceae.